GUCCUUCACCCACUUCUUCUCUCUCCCUCUCUCACUAUACGACUGUUCAUGAAUGGUCUUCUUCGUGAUCUUCCACAGCUUUCUUGAACUGUGCCUGUAAAGGCUUCAUGCAAACAGAAUUUCCACCAACACAAUUCAAGAAAGCUGUGGAAAAUCACUGAGAUGAUCAGCCGCAUCGCCACCCGUACUCUUUGCUAGUACAGUCAACCAAUACAUCAGGUUCCGAUGGCGAAAUUUCAGAUCUCUUCCGAUGAUUUGCUCCGAUCUGACAAAAACAGACGCUCACGGUUACAUUUUGAUUACGUUUUCUAGAUGCAUUAUCGAAUAACGUCGAUAAAUCUGAUACAUGUAAUCUGAUGCGAUUUCUUUUUUCCCCCCUUUGUGGUUCUUAAUUCUCAAUUUCAAUAGGUUCUGCGAUUUUUCACGCAUUUGGUGUUUUCGGUUCUUCUGAACAGCAAUCCUUGAACUGCCCAGUUUGGUAAAAGAGACAAGCAGGCGUGACGCACAAGAAGGUGAAAAGUGUUGAAAUUAGUUGAAGCGGAGGCUUCGUUUUUCCUCUGAAACAGAAAAGUAAUUGUACGUUGCCAUUGUCACUCAUUGUCAAUACGUACAAGCAAGCUUCCCCCACCAUCCACCUCUUCUUCCUUCUUUCUUCUUGUUUUUCUUUUAAAUUCUUCUGUUUUCUACUUUUCUUCUUCCUCUUCAAUGUAUCACAGCUUCUUUUCUUGACCCAAAGAUAUGGGAUUUUGUUAUCACACUGCUGGGAUAAAACAAGUAAUUGAGAAUCAUUUUUGAAUUACUGGGUAUGAAUAAUUCAUAUGCUGUGAGAGAUUUUUUUUGUUCUGCAGACAAUCAUUAGCCCA
Molecule: long non-coding RNA, 863 nt
Organism: Neltuma alba
Lineage: Eukaryota; Viridiplantae; Streptophyta; Magnoliopsida; Fabales; Fabaceae
Exons: 2
Source: RefSeq, a predicted model, not a curated record